RNAcentral lists this ribosomal RNA (468 nucleotides) under uncultured bacterium. Its description in RNAcentral is "partial 16S ribosomal RNA". It matches the Rfam family "Bacterial small subunit ribosomal RNA", at positions 28 to 507 of the family's 1533-position model. The record is from RNAcentral.
GACGAACGCUGGCGGCGUGCUUAACACAUGCAAGUCGAACGGAAAGGCCCUGCUUUUGUGGGGUGCUCGAGUGGCGAACGGGUGAGUAACACGUGAGUAUCCUGCCCUUGACUUUGUGAUAACUUCAGGAAACUGGGGCUAAUACAGGAUAGGAGCUCCUGCUGCAUAUUGGUGGUUGGAAAGUUUCGGCGGUGGGGGAUGGACUCGCGGCUUAUCCGCUUGUUGGUGGGGUAGUGGCUUACGAAGGCUUUGACGGAUAGGCGGCAUGAGAGGGUGACCAGCCACAUUGGGACUGAGAUACGGCCCAGACUCCUACGGGAGGCAGCAGUGGGGAAUAUGACACAAUGGGCGGAAGCCUGAUGCAGCAACGCCGCGUGCGGGAUGACGGCCUUCGGGUUGUAAACCGCUUUCGCCUGUGACGAAGCGUGAGUGACGGUAAUGGGUAAAGAAGCACCGGCUAACUACGUG